CAGUACCGUGAGGGAAAGGCGAAAAGAACCCCGGCGAGGGGAGUGAAACAGAACCUGAAACCGUGUACGUACAAGCAGUGGGAGCCUCUCUUUAUGGGGGGUGACUGCGUACCUUUUGUAUAAUGGGUCAGCGACUUAUAUUCUGUAGCAAGGUUAACCGCAUAGGGGAGCCGAAGGGAAACCGAGUCUUAAUUGGGCGUUAAGUUGCAGGGUAUAGACCCGAAACCCGGUGAUCUAGCCAUGGGCAGGUUGAAGGUUGGGUAACACUAACUGGAGGACCGAACCGACUAAUGUUGAAAAAUUAGCGGAUGACCUGUGGCUGGGGGUGAAAGGCCAAUCAAACCGGGAGAUAGCUGGUUCUCCCCGAAAGCUAUUUAGGUAGCGCCUCGUGAACUCAUCUCCGGGGGUAGAGCACUGUUUCGGCUAGGGGGCCAUCCCGGCUUACCAACCCGAUGCAAACUGCGAAUACCGGAGAAUGUUAUCACGGGAGACACACGGCGGGUGCUAACGUCCGUCGUGAAGAGGGAAACAACCCAGACCGCCAGCUAAGGUCCCAAAGUCAUGGUUAAGUGGGAAACGAUGUGGGAAGGCCCAGACAGCCAGGAUGUUGGCUUAGAAGCAGCCAUCAUUUAAAGAAAGCGUAAUAGCUCACUGGUCGAGUCGGCCUGCGCGGAAGAUGUAACGGGGCUAAACCAUGCACCGAAGCUGCGGCAGCGACACUUUAGUGUUGUUGGGUAGGGGAGCGUUCUGUAAGCCGUUGAAGGUGUCCUGUGAGGGGUGCUGGAGGUAUCAGAAGUGCGAAUGCUGACAUAAGUAACGAUAAAGCGGGUGAAAAGCCCGCUCGCCGGAAGACCAAGGGUUCCUGUCCAACGUUAAUCGGGGCAGGGUGAGUCGACCCCUAAGGCGAGGCCGAAAGGCGUAGUCGAUGGGAAACGGGUUAAUAUUCCCGUACUUGGUGUUACUGCGAAGGGGGGACGGAGAAGGCUAUGUUGGCCGGGCGACGGUAGUCCCGGUUUAAGCGUGUAGGUGUGUGUUCCAGGCAAAUCCGGAAAAUCAAGGCUGAGGCGUGAUGACGAGGCACCACGGUGCUGAAGCAACAAAUGCCCUGCUUCCAGGAAAAGCCUCUAAGCAUCAGGUAACAUCAAAUCGUACCCCAAACCGACACAGGUGGUCAGGUAGAGAAUACCAAGGCGCUUGAGAGAACUCGGGUGAAGGAACUAGGCAAAAUGGUGCCGUAACUUCGGGAGAAGGCACGCUGACACGUAGGUGAAGUGAUUUACUCACGGAGCUGAAGUCAGUCGAAGAUACCAGCUGGCUGCAACUGUUUAUUAAAAACACAGCACUGUGCAAACACGAAAGUGGACGUAUACGGUGUGACGCCUGCCCGGUGCCGGAAGGUUAAUUGAUGGGGUCAGCGCAAGCGAAGCUCCUGAUCGAAGCCCCGGUAAACGGCGGCCGUAACUAUAACGGUCCUAAGGUAGCGAAAUUCCUUGUCGGGUAAGUUCCGACCUGCACGAAUGGCGUAAUGAUGGCCAGGCUGUCUCCACCCGAGACUCAGUGAAAUUGAACUCGCUGUGAAGAUGCAGUGUACCCGCGGCAAGACGGAAAGACCCCGUGAACCUUUACUAUAGCUUGACACUGAACAUUGAGCCUUGAUGUGUAGGAUAGGUGGGAGGCUUUGAAGCGUGGACGCCAGUCUGCGUGGAGCCGACCUUGAAAUACCACCCUUUAAUGUUUGAUGUUCUAACGUGGACCCGUAAUCCGGGUUGCGGACAGUGUCUGGUGGGUAGUUUGACUGGGGCGGUCUCCUCCUAAAGAGUAACGGAGGAGCACGAAGGUUGGCUAAUCCUGGUCGGACAUCAGGAGGUUAGUGCAAUGGCAUAAGCCAGCUUGACUGCGAGCGUGACGGCGCGAGCAGGUGCGAAAGCAGGUCAUAGUGAUCCGGUGGUUCUGAAUGGAAGGGCCAUCGCUCAACGGAUAAAAGGUACUCCGGGGAUAACAGGCUGAUACCGCCCAAGAGUUCAUAUCGACGGCGGUGUUUGGCACCUCGAUGUCGGCUCAUCACAUCCUGGGGCUGAAGUAGGUCCCAAGGGUAUGGCUGUUCGCCAUUUAAAGUGGUACGCGAGCUGGGUUUAGAACGUCGUGAGACAGUUCGGUCCCUAUCUGCCGUGGGCGCUGGAAGAUUGAGGGGGGCUGCUCCUAGUACGAGAGGACCGGAGUGGACGCAUCACUGGUGUUCGGGUUGUCAUGCCAAUGGCACUGCCCGGUAGCUAAAUGCGGAAAAGAUAAGUGCUGAAAGCAUCUAAGCACGAAACUUGCCCCGAGAUGAGUUCUCCCUGAGACUUUGA
This 2348-nucleotide ribosomal RNA is filed under the name Salmonella enterica subsp. diarizonae serovar 48:z10:e,n,x,z15. Its description in RNAcentral is "bacterial LSU rRNA". It matches the Rfam family "Bacterial large subunit ribosomal RNA", at positions 496 to 2824 of the family's 2925-position model. The record is from RNAcentral. Lineage: Bacteria; Pseudomonadati; Pseudomonadota; Gammaproteobacteria; Enterobacterales; Enterobacteriaceae.